UACGGCUAGGCGCAGGAACAAGCAGAUGCCGAGGAAGUGCGGGCACGCGCUGCUGGCCUUAGCAGGUGUAGGAACCGUGCGAGGAAGGUUCAGCCGCGCCAACGCAUGUGUGCGUGGUCGUUGGGUUAGCCAAGAUCUGCAUUCUGCGACUUCGUCUUCACCAUGGACACAAGCAAGGACUGAUUGGUGGUUCUUGGUAGCGGUGCCGAGCAUCGGCAGAUCGAAGUGGUCGAGGUCACGGUUAAUCCACCCGGACGAGACAUGCAUCUUGGAGCUAGCGCAGAGGGGGGAAGAAGCAGGUUGGUAUGGCCCGGAACUUUCACGCAAAGAAAACACACACAGGGCAGGAACAUGACUACUCUUCCCCUUCCAAGUUUCUGAUCGAUCGAACUCUUUGGUGACCAGAAAAUGAGAAAAAGGCAGGCCGUCGAUGUACAGACCAUAGGUGCUCGGACGCACGGCCGGCAUCAUGGUCGCCAUAACUCACAACCCAUGAGGUGGUGACCAAGCAAGAAAGGAAGGAACUUUCGCGCAAAGAAAACACACACAGGGCAGGAACAUGCCUACUCUCGCCCUUCCAUGUUUCUGAUCGAUCGAACUCUUCGGUGACCAGAAAAUGAGAAAAGGGCAGGUCGUCGAUGUACAGACCACAGGCGCUCGGACGCACGGCCGGCAUCAUGGUCGUCAUAGCUCAUAACCCAUGAGGGGGUGACGAAGCAAGAAAGGAAGAUCCCAUGAAUGUCAUUUUGCACCGAAGGUUUGUAACGAUUAGGGAAUGUUUUCUUGCUCUGAUGUAUCAAGUUGCCAUGGGGGUGAUCUAGAGGUGAAAGCUAGCAAGCCAUCUCCUGAUAUUUUCCUUACUAGCAAGCUUAAUGCGGAACACUUAUAUUUCAGUACUUGUUUGUUUAAUUGUGUUAUUUAUCUGCAGGUCUCUUCCUUGUCCAAAGUAUGUCGUACCUAAUCAAGACAUGUUCAUUUAAUUUACCCAUCAUGUAAAUGACACAACAUGAUUCACUUGUGUAUAGUGUAAAAAUAUAUUUAUUUAUGGCACACAGGUGUUCAAAUUAUAGUUGUGAAACGUGUAUAGCAUAAAAGUAUAAUUAUUAAGGGAAGUGACGUCACAGUGGUCGUGUCUGGUCUUCUCCGAGUCUCUGCUUGUGGUUUGUGUUCUUUAGAUCUGUUCAUGCCCUGAUAUUGCUAUCUGAUUUCAUCUUCUCUUGACAAAUUAGGGCUUUGCUUUUGUUUGCACCAAUUCGAGAUAAUGGUCAUGACAUGCGCGAGCUAAGACAACAAGGUCAAGCCCAGGCUUAGGCCUGAUGAUGAACACAAUUAGAUGUGGGUAGUCCCUUGCAUCCUCAUGUUAGAACUACUUUUUUUACGCUCUUGCUGCUGCAGAUUAGCUACCUACUUAC
This is a long non-coding RNA of Triticum dicoccoides, 1412 nucleotides long. RefSeq lists it as uncharacterized. The record is from RefSeq and is a predicted model, not a curated record. The transcript is spliced from 4 exons. NCBI's taxonomy places the organism in Eukaryota, Viridiplantae, Streptophyta, Magnoliopsida, Poales, Poaceae.